Felis catus (domestic cat) is the source of this 3078-nucleotide long non-coding RNA. RefSeq lists it as uncharacterized. The record is from RefSeq and is a predicted model, not a curated record. The transcript has 3 exons. NCBI's taxonomy places the organism in Eukaryota, Metazoa, Chordata, Mammalia, Carnivora, Felidae.
GGGUCCAGGAGGUUUGCUUGAGGAGAAGGCCCUUGAGUUGGCCUCCUUCCUCGGGAUUUCUUCUGAGUGCCCUCUUUCCUUGGGCCCGUUGUCCUCAGCACCUAUUUUGCCCCUUGGUGGGAGUGAAGAGACUCAGCCAGUCCAUUCUCGAGUUUCUGGGCCUCCUGUCAGCCUUAAGCAUCCUCCAGAUUUGUUUCCACAAACACUUUUCAGCAUCUACCCAGUGCCAGGCAUCAAGGGUGAAAACGGAGUUGAGGAGCACUUACUCCAUUUUUCAGGGGAAGGAACUUGGCACUGACAGUGGGCGGGACUUGCCCGAGGUCUCAACAGAUCCAGCACUCUGGUCCUUUCUGUGCUCAGUCUGGUCCAAGCCCUUCACCCAGUAGCAGCUCUCCCCACCCCCACCCAGAGAAGCCACGACGGCAUUUUAGGGUGACUGCAGAGACGCAGCAUCUUACUUGCAUUCUAUGGAAGAGAUAGAUGGUUUGGCGAUAGGGUCACACAGGAGUGGAACUUGUCCAUGAGAAGUACCUGUAGGAAUAAAAAUCCAUUGCCUCUCAUUUCCCUAGGGCCCAUUUUAAAGACACACAGAAGCUUCAUUUAUUUACUUUUCGAGUUCGCCUUUGCGACAUCAUGAGCAUGUGGAGGGAGGCAGGAGGUCCUACCUGAAUUUAUGGCUGUGAGGCCUCGAUGUGCAACAGUCAGGUCUGGAAUCCACGGCGUCUGGCCUGUUGCAAGAGUCUAAGAAUGGGUUUUUAAUGCUAAUUUCAGGCCUGCCUUCUGUCCUUGCCCGGAAUUUAUUGGAGGAAACUGAGAGAGUUUAGGUGACUUGCUCAAGGUCACAUCGCACGGCCAAGACAGGGUAGAGGCAGGAUUUGAACCCAGGUCUGUUUGUAGGACUGGAACUUAACUCCAGGUGCUUCGAAAUCAGCUGCUGGCUUCUGCCCUGGGUGGUUCUGAGUCCAGUCCUGAGGCUCGAUACACAGUGAACAUGACCUUGAUGCGAUGGACACCCGCCACUUUCCUGCCAACUGCUCUGAGACCAGUGCCCGCAGGAGUCACCAAGAAGCGAAUAUCUGUUCCAGCUUCAGCUCAUCAGUCACAGCCAGUCUCGGAGCUGGUGGCCCGCAACAUGCUUCUGGGAGAAUGGAUGGCUCGCACGCAAGGCUCCUGUUCGGAUGUACAAUGGUUCCAAGCAGAGUCCCCCAGACCGACCGUUUAGGGCGAGUUACUUCCACAACCGUUCUCUGGAAUCCCAGCAAGUGGGCAAGGGGACAAGAUGUGAUCCUGUCUUCAGGAGGCCACGACUCAGAGGGAAGCGAACACGAUAAACAGUGUGAUAAGUCUGUGAUAGGAAGAGGGACAGGGCCUUGGAGGCCAAGGAUGGGGAGGGGCCUUCCAGCAGAGAACAGCUCAGAUCCUAGCACAGGAUGUGGCACACAGUAGGCACUCAAUAAAUGCUUGUGGACUAAGUCAAUCAAUGAAUGUUAGCAUACAGAAGGCACCAUUAUGGUUGGAAGGGCCCUAGAGACCAGGCUGCCCUCACUUCUGAUUUCCACGUGGGUAAACUGAGGUCCGGAGAGGAGGAGGGAUGUGCUGAGGGUGUCAGCCUGGGGGGGGGGGGGCGAACCCAGAUGCCCCACCUCCUGCUCCGGCUCCUGGCUGCUCCAGCUCACUGUCUCCGAGACUUGGAGUGUGUGUUGCCCCGUGGGGACUGAGACUGGGGACUGCAGGAAGUGGCAGAGAAGGCGGCCGGAUGCUGCUGACCGAAGGGGUCACUGGCGAGUCCUCUUGGAGGCCAAGGAGCUAGUGACGCUUGGACGUGGGAGCCCCGUGCUGCAUCCCGAGAGGGCCGUUCUGUGGUUGGUGGGUACUGGGGCGCUCGGCUGGGGUCCCGGAACCCAGACAGCCCCCCAACUCCUGCCCCACAGAAUCUGCACCCUGCCAUCGUCCCCAGUGGAUGUGAAUGGCCCGCCAACGUCAGCGUUUGCCCAGCACGGUCCUGAGCAUCAGGCUCGGUGCCUAGAAAGACAUCGUGGCCCUGGCUUCAGGGUCCUUAAGUGUGACGAGGGAGAUUGAUGGAAGCUUGGCUCUUCGGAGCUUUUGCUUUGUGUCAGACGCUGGGCCUGGAGCUUUCCGUGGUGAUAUCCUUGAGUCCCCACAGCCUUUGAGGCGGGCUUGGUUAUAAUCCCCAUUUUAUGGAGGGAGCAACUGAGGCACGGAGAGCUUGGGUGACUUCCCCGGGGUCACACACCAGAAAGAAGAAGUGACUCUAAUCCCAGGGCUCUGGGGAAGUGGGGAGCACCACGAGCGGAGCGGCAGGAGAGGAAUGGCGACCGCUGCUACCACUUUGGGAUUUAUUGGCCUUUGGAACAAAUUCUGUACUCACCGAUGGAAGGUGCAGAGAGGGUAGAUGUGAUCUCUUCACCUAGGGUCUCCGCCCAAGCACCUGGCACAGGCUGGAUGUCCGUUCGUUCGUUCGUUCGUUCGUUCAUUCAUUCAUUCGCUCAGUAAGCACGGACUAAAUGCUGGCCAGCGUGCAGGCGCUGUGCUGAGCCCUGGGGAGAACACCGGGCACCUCACAUACAGCCUGGAGCAGAGCUGAGGAUGCUCUUAAUCUCCCAGGCCAAUUCCAAUUGAUUGGUAGUGUCUGCCUGGAGCUCUGGGUUGGAAGGGAUUUGGCAUGCGCCCCAAUUGAUUAGUGAUGUCUGCCAAGGGCUCAGCUGGGAGCCUUUAUGGCAAACCUGCUGGGAUGUGCAUGGAGUGUGUGUUCGGCUUUGGACAUCUGGGGUGGUCUAGCUGCCAGAGCGGGGCUUGAGGGGUCAGGAGACACGGGUGCUGGCGCCAGACCGGCCUCUUAUCCCUAGGUAACGUGCGUCACCUCUCUUGGGGCUCUGUUUCCUCCCUUGCCACCUUCCUCCGGGAGGUACUGUGAGCAGCAAGUGACGCCAGCGUGCUUUGAAGACUGGAGGGGAUUCGUAUUGAAAUGGAAUGGGAGACGUCCCCCUUCCCCCUUUCCUCUUUUCUCAAAAUCCUGCCAGAAACUAAGCAAGCUGGGCAGGCCAGAGUUAAUCCUGG